This is a long non-coding RNA of Rhodamnia argentea, 602 nucleotides long. RefSeq lists it as uncharacterized. NCBI's taxonomy places the organism in Eukaryota, Viridiplantae, Streptophyta, Magnoliopsida, Myrtales, Myrtaceae. The transcript is spliced from 2 exons. The record is from RefSeq and is a predicted model, not a curated record.
UUUUUUUGGACAGUGACUUCUCACCAAAGAUCAAAUCUGGUGUGCAUAAUAAACUUGCCCUGCGAUGGAAUGUUUAGAUUGCCUGAGCAAACUCGGCUCUCAACACCCUUUGUUUUUGCUCCUCGGUUGCUGCAUCGGUUACAUGAGUGGCAGUGGUCGCUGCUCCACAUGAGGUGGGAUCGGUCCCUCCUCGCCCCGUUGAAGAAGCUGUGGUCAUGUCUGCAUUUGGCCACGAAGAAGAGAAGAAGAGGGAUAUACAUUCUGUACGACGACGUUAAAUCGUGCCCGUGCGAGGAUGUUCACGUCCUCUGGUCCAUCCUUGUAGAAGAAUCACAUUCCACACUGCCAUCAGAACACAGAAGAAGGCAAACAGCUCUGGGAGUUUAUUCAAGAGAUUAAUUACAACAUGCACAAACAAUAUUUAUUAUGUCUCAUGCUUGUUUGAAGUAUUCACACAUUUGUUUUCUUCUUCUCUUUCCCUUUCUUUCCCACCCCUUUAAUCUUCAAGUUCUCUACUACUUUCCCUUUCCUUUUCACUUGAGCUUCAAGUUGUGCAACCAAUCUGAAGAAGCACUUAAAACUAAUUAAGAGACGGUGGAGUU